RNAcentral lists this long non-coding RNA (2452 nucleotides) under Salmo salar (Atlantic salmon). RNAcentral's name for it is "lncRNA (ENSSSAG00000090653.1)". Lineage: Eukaryota; Metazoa; Chordata; Actinopteri; Salmoniformes; Salmonidae. The record is from RNAcentral.
ACCUUCUCAUUCAAGGUUUUUUCUUAAUUUUUUAUUAUUUUCUACAUUGUAGAAUAAGAGUGAAGAUGUCAAAACUAUGACAUAACACAUAUGGAAUCAUGUAAUAGCCAAAAAAAGUGUAUAUUUUAUAUUUGAGAUUCUUCAAAGUAGCCACCCUUUGCCUUGAUGAAGCUGGCUGAGAGAAUGCCAUGCCAAGAGUGUACAAAGCUAUCAUCAAGGCAAAAUGCUAAAUUCUCCACCCCAGACAUCCUCACGUACUUUGUGCCCUCUCGGAUUUUUGGGCUGCAUGACGCCCCUGCUCAAAGCUGUAGGGGCUUGUAUCAGAAAACCAGUCAGUAUCUGGUAUGACCACCAUUUGCCUUAUGCAGAGCGACAGAUUACCUUCGCAUAGAGUUAAUCAGGCUGUUGAUUGUGGCCUGUGGAAUGUUGUCCCACUCCUCCUCAAUGGCUGUUCGAAGUUGCUGGAUUUUGGCGUGAACUGGAACACACUGUUGUACACAUCGAUCCAGAGCAUCCCAAACAUGCUCAAUGGGUGACAUGUCUGGUGAUUAUGCAGGCCAUGGAAGAACUGUGACAUUUUCAGCUUCCAGGAAUUGUGUACAGAUGUUUGACACAUGGGGCCAUGCAUUAUCAUGCUGAAACAUGAGGUGAUGGAGGCGGAUGAAUGGCACGACCAAUGGGCCUCAGGAUCUCGUCACGGUAUCUCUGUGCAUUCAAAUUGCCAUCAAUAAAAUGUAAUUGUGUUCCUUGUCCGUAGCUUAUGCCUGCUCAUACCAUAACCCCACCAUCACCAUUGGGCACUCUGUUCACAAUUUUGACAUCAGCAAACCGCUCGCCCACACGACGCCAUACACGUUGUCUGCCAUCUGCCCGGUACAGUUUAAACCGGGAUUAAUCCAUGAAGAGCACACUUCUCUAGCAUGCCAGUGGUCAUCAAAGGUGAGCAUUUGCUGACUGAAGUCGGUUACGACGCCGAACUGCAGUCAGGUCAAGACCCUGGUGAGGACGACGAGCACGCAGAUGAGAUUCCCUGAGACGGUUUCUGACAGUUUGUGCAGAAAUUCUUUAUUUGUGCAAACCCACAGUUUCAUCAACUGUCUGGGUGGCUGGUCUCAGAUGAUCCCGCAGGUGAAGAAGACGGAUGUGGAGGACCUGGACUGGUGUGGUUACAUAUGGUCUGCAGUUGUGAAGCCGGUUGGACGUACUGCCAAAUUCUCUAAAAUGACGUUGGAGGUGGCUUAUGGUAGAGAAAUUAACAUGAAUUACUCUGGCAACAGCUCUGGCGGACAUUCCUGCAGUCAGCAUGCCAAAUGCACACUCCCUCAAAACUUGAGGCAUCUGUGGCAUUGUGUUGUGUGACAAAACUUCACAUUUUACAGUUGCUUUAUAUUGCACCUGUGAUGAUCCUGUUGUUAAAUUAAUCAGCUUCUUGAUAUGUCACACCUGUCAGGUGGAUCUGGGAUGUUUUAUUUCAGCGCAUGAAACAUGGGACAAACACUUUACAUGUUUACUGUAUAUUUGACUACCUCGAGUAUUUGAAAAGUUUUCAAAUAAACUACAAAAUACAACUAUUUUCUGCCCAGGUCUGCACUACAUAGGUCAUCUGUGCCUGUCUGUCAACGCCCAGUGUAACUCCCUGUUCAUUAAUUUAAUGUUUUUUAUACAUGCUAUCUGCACCAGUUUGGUGUGUAUUGCUCAAGGUGACAACUGUAUAGGAACCAAUUAAGUUUUGGUUUUGUGUUCCAAGAUAGAUCGACUUUUGAAUUGAAAAUAGAAAAUUGUCGCAAGAUUUCUGAGAUACAGAGAGGAUGUUAAGAAAGUAAUUUGUUUUUAUAAAUUGAAUGUCCUUUCUGGAAUAUUUGCUGUUUUUAUUUGACUACAGUAGGAUACUAUGUCAAAUAUGACAUUCGUAUUGAAAAAGUAAUGUUUGAUACCGAGGAAUGACAGAUGUUACAGUUUAUAUUUUUUUGUAAGCAAAAAUGGUAUUGAUGCAAAAAAUACUUGUUUGUCACGCAUAUACAGUACACACAAAAACAAAUACUCACACACGGUCGCUCACACAAACAAGUCUUUUUUUUAUGUGAAUUUCACCCCUACUGAUGUAUAAUUGACACAGACAUCUAUGAAAAAUAAAUAUACAUUUGAUAUUAUGUUGACGUUUUUUUAAAGUAGUUAUUUGCCUCACACUUGAGGUCUAUUUCAUGUUGUCCUUUACCUCUAAUGUUAGAAUUGAUCUGAUUUGCCUCAAAUCAGAAAUCAGAAAAAAGUAACAUAAAAUAAUCACACCAUUGGGGGGCGCUACAGAGUCAACUUUGAUAGAGAAGUUUUACUACCUUUUACUACCUUGGAGAAUAACGCGACUACCUUCCUCAACGCGUGUGUGUGUGUGUGCCCGUGCGUGUGUGUGUUCCUUAACAUUAAGUGUGUGCUUUGAGAAAACGUCCUCUCCCUC